AACAUAUCAAAUGAUAUCGUGCAAGUAGCAGUUGCUGGUACAAUAGGCGGUUCUAAUUUCUCACAUGCCAGCAACGCAUGUCGAAUGGAGGAUGUGCAUGCGUGGGGAGCGUGCUUUGUGAUCGCCGGACGAUGGUCAACUGCUUUGGAGCUUAGAACACUCACAAGUCACAACAACGGUGCUAUACUGAGAUCAGCGAUGCGCUUCAUUUUGGAAUAUAUGUUAGGAAUUCUAAAAUUAAUCAUAUUACUUUGUAAAGAAACUAAAACACUUAUUUUUUAAAGAAUUCUUAAUAUUAAGUUUUUUCCGGAAACGCACUAUUUUUGUCGGCAAAUAUAUGGAUUGUAUUUUUGGGUCAUUUACAUAAAAUGCGUAUAAAAUAUCUAAAUGUAUAUGAAGACUUACAAUUUAUGGUGUCAUUAACUUAAUAUUCAACAUAACGAUCAAUACCAUAAAUAUUUUCACCGUGAAAGUUAACAUUUGUGUUUAGACACUUCGAAGCGAGUUUAGGUUGUGAAAGUGCAAAAUAUGAAUUAACAUUUUUAACGUAAUGAAUAUUUUUGCACUACAAUAUCACUAAUUUAUAUCUUAAUUGCGGUACUUUUGAGUAAUUGUUCACAGAAAUGUUCAUUAUGUAUGUGCAAAUAUAUACUAAUUCAUAACAUAUUUCAAAGUAUGUGUCACUUUACGUAAACGUAUAAUAUAGAGUUAAGAAAAUAUUCAAAUGUUUUACGACCCGAUAUAUAUGCUUCAAACGG
Long non-coding RNA from Zerene cesonia (dogface butterfly), 758 nucleotides. RefSeq lists it as uncharacterized. Lineage: Eukaryota; Metazoa; Arthropoda; Insecta; Lepidoptera; Pieridae. The transcript has 2 exons. The record is from RefSeq and is a predicted model, not a curated record.